This 448-nucleotide ribosomal RNA is filed under the name uncultured bacterium. RNAcentral describes it as "bacterial SSU rRNA". It matches the Rfam family "Bacterial small subunit ribosomal RNA", at positions 329 to 794 of the family's 1533-position model. The record is from RNAcentral.
UGCCAGACUCCUACGGGAGGCAGCAGUAAGGGAUAUUGGUCAAUGGGGGAAACCCUGAACCAGCAACGCCGCGUGAGGGAAGACGGUUUUCGGAUUGUAAACCUCUGUCCUCUGUGAAGAUGAUGACGGUAGCAGAGGAGGAAGCUCCGGCUAACUACGUGCCAGCAGCCGCGGUAAUACGUAGGGAGCGAGCGUUGUCCGGAAUUACUGGGUGUAAAGGGAGCGUAGGCGGGAUUGCAAGUUGGAUGUGAAAACUGCGGGCUCAACCCGGAGCGUGCAUUCAAAACUGCGAUUCUUGAGUGAAGUAGAGGCAAGCGGAAUUCCUAGUGUAGCGGUGAAAUGCGUAGAUAUUAGGAGGAACACCAGUGGCGAAGGCGGCUUGCUGGGCUUUUACUGACGCUGAGGCUCGAAAGUGUGGGGAGCAAACAGGAUUAGAUACCCUUGUAAA